RNAcentral lists this ribosomal RNA (316 nucleotides) under uncultured bacterium. RNAcentral describes it as "bacterial SSU rRNA". It matches the Rfam family "Bacterial small subunit ribosomal RNA", at positions 28 to 334 of the family's 1533-position model. The record is from RNAcentral.
GACGAACGCUGGCGGCGCGCCUAACACAUGCAAGUCGAACGGAGUUACAUUGAAAGCUUGCUGGAUAUGUAACUUAGUGGCGGACGGGUGGGUAACACGUGAGUAAUCUGCCUUCCAGAGGGGAAUAACGUUUGGAAACGAACGCUAAUACCGCAUAACGUACGGUCCUCACAUGGGGACUGUACCAAAGAUUUUAUCGCUGGAAGAUGAGCUCGCGGCCGAUUAGGUAGUUGGUGAGAUAACAGCCCACCAAGCCGACGAUCUUUAGCUGGUCUGAGAGGAUGAUCAGCCACACUGGGACUGAGACACGGCCCAG